GGGGAUUUAGCUCAGCGGUAGAGCGCUUGCCUAGCAAGCGCAAGGCCCUGGGUUCAAUCCCCA
This 63-nucleotide transfer RNA is filed under the name Rattus norvegicus (Norway rat). It matches the Rfam family "tRNA", at positions 1 to 62 of the family's 71-position model. Rfam says of the family: Transfer RNA (tRNA) molecules are approximately 80 nucleotides in length. Their secondary structure includes four short double-helical elements and three loops (D, anti-codon, and T loops). The record is from Rfam by way of RNAcentral. Lineage: Eukaryota; Metazoa; Chordata; Mammalia; Rodentia; Muridae.